Molecule: ribosomal RNA, 253 nt
Filed under: uncultured bacterium
Lineage: Bacteria
Description: partial 16S ribosomal RNA
Rfam family: Bacterial small subunit ribosomal RNA
Source: RNAcentral
UACAGAGGGUGCGAGCGUUGUCCGGAAUCACUGGGCGUAAAGGGCGCGUAGGUGGCGAGCCAAGUCCAUGGUGAAAGCUCGAUGCUCAACAUCGAGUCGGCCACGGAUACUGGUGCGCUGGAGCACUGUAGAGGCAGAUGGAAUUCCGGGUGUAGCGGUGGAAUGCGUAGAGAUCCGGAAGAACACCGGUGGCGAAGGCGGUCUGCUGGGCAGUUGCUGACACUGAGGCGCGACAGCGUGGGGAGCAAACAGG